CCUACGGGACGCACCAGUGGGGAAUAUUGGACAAUGGGCGAAAGCCUGAUCCAGCGAUGCCGCGUGUGAAGAAGGUCUUCGGAUUGUAAAGCACUUUCGACGGGGACGACGAUGACGGUACCCGUAGAAGAAGCCCCGGCUAACUUCAUGCCAGCAGCCGCGGUAAUACGAAGGGGGCUAGCGUUGCUCGGAAUGACUGGGCGUAGAGGGCGCGUAGGCGGUUUAUGCAGUCAGAUGUGAAAUCCCCGGGCUUAACCUGGGAACUGCAUUUGAGACGCAUAGACUAGAGGUCGAGAGGGGGUUGUGGAAUUCCCAGUGUAGAGGUGAAAUUCGUAGAUAUUGGGAAGAACACCGGUGGCGAAGGCGGCAACCUGGCUCGAUACUGACGCUGAGGCGCGAAAGCGUGGGGAGCAAACAGGAUUAGAUACCCCUGUAGUC
RNAcentral lists this ribosomal RNA (438 nucleotides) under uncultured bacterium. Its description in RNAcentral is "bacterial SSU rRNA". It matches the Rfam family "Bacterial small subunit ribosomal RNA", at positions 338 to 795 of the family's 1533-position model. The record is from RNAcentral.